GUACUCCUGACGAGUCCCAAACUAGGAUGAAACAGCUGUCCAGUAC
RNAcentral lists this non-coding RNA (46 nucleotides) under Trichobilharzia regenti. The record is from RNAcentral. Lineage: Eukaryota; Metazoa; Platyhelminthes; Trematoda; Strigeidida; Schistosomatidae.